Molecule: ribosomal RNA, 433 nt
Filed under: uncultured bacterium
Lineage: Bacteria
Description: partial 16S ribosomal RNA
Rfam family: Bacterial small subunit ribosomal RNA
Source: RNAcentral
AACGAACGCUGGCGGCAUGCCUAACACAUGCAAGUCGAACGAGACCUUCGGGUCUAGUGGCGCACGGGUGCGUAACGCGUGGGAACCUGCCCUUAGGUUCGGAAUAACUCCCCGAAAGGGGUGCUAAUACCGGAUAAUGUCUUCGGACCAAAGAUUUAUCGCCUUUGGAUGGGCCCGCGUUGGAUUAGCUAGUUGGUAGUGUAAAAGCCUACCAAGGCGACGAUCCAUAGCUGGUCUGAGAGGAUGAUCAUCCACACUGGGACUGAGACACGGCCCAGACUCCUACGGGAGGCAGGAGUGGGGAAUAUUGGACAAGGGGCGAAAGCCUGAUACAGCAAUGCCGCGUGAGUGAUGAAGGCCUUAGGGUUGUAAAGCUCUUUUACCCGGGAUGAUAAUGACAGUACCGGGAGAAUAAGCUCCGGCUAACUCCGUG